This is a long non-coding RNA of Ictalurus punctatus (channel catfish), 406 nucleotides long. The record is from Ensembl. NCBI's taxonomy places the organism in Eukaryota, Metazoa, Chordata, Actinopteri, Siluriformes, Ictaluridae.
CUGAGAUGUGAUCCCACGCGCGCGCGCGCACACACACACACAAAGAAACAAGUGUGAAAAAGCAGUAGAGCACAAGCUGGGACAUGACGGAGACUCUUUACACGGCGGCGAGCUGGGGGAGUGACGGUCACACGGCGGCGAGCUGGGGGAGUGACGGUCACACGGCGCGGCCGACACGCGACAGGAAGGAAGGUUCUGAAACUGUUCGGGGUGCACUGAGGAUCAAGUGGAGGUCGAGUAUGAUGUGUAAUUGUGUGCUUUCCCACUCAACGCAGGUGAGAACCCGUCCACUGGAGCGACACGAUCAGAAAUUAAGCUACUCGAAUGUAAUUUUCCUCGGCGAUGGGGUGGUACUGUAAGAACCUUUACAGUAAUCUGUGUAUUUGUUUUUUUUUACCCUGGGAAG